This 1298-nucleotide ribosomal RNA is filed under the name Apilactobacillus kunkeei. Its description in RNAcentral is "bacterial SSU rRNA". It matches the Rfam family "Bacterial small subunit ribosomal RNA", at positions 54 to 1330 of the family's 1533-position model. The record is from RNAcentral. Lineage: Bacteria; Bacillati; Bacillota; Bacilli; Lactobacillales; Lactobacillaceae.
CUCCCAAAUUGAUUUUAUGCUUGCAUAAAUGAUUUUUGGAUUCGGAGCGAGUGGCGAACUGGUGAGUAACACGUGGGUAACCUGCCCCGAAGCGGGGGAUAACAUUUGGAAACAAGUGCUAAUACCGCAUAAUUAGUUGGAACCGCAUGGUUCCAACUUGAAAGAUGGCUCUGCUAUCACUUUGGGAUGGACCCGCGCCGUAUUAGUUAGUUGGUGAGAUAAAAGCCCACCAAGACGAUGAUACGUAGCCGACCUGAGAGGGUAAUCGGCCACAUUGGGACUGAGACACGGCCCAGACUCCUACGGGAGGCAGCAGUAGGGAAUCUUCCACAAUGGACGAAAGUCUGAUGGAGCAACGCCGCGUGAGUGAUGAAGGUUUUCGGAUCGUAAAACUCUGUUGUUAAAGAAGAACAAGUGUUAGAGUAACUGUUAACACUUUGACGGUAUUUAACCAGAAAGCCACGGCUAACUACGUGCCAGCAGCCGCGGUAAUACGUAGGUGGCAAGCGUUGUCCGGAUUUAUUGGGCGUAAAGCGAGCGCAGGCGGUUUUGUAAGUCUGCUGUGAAAGCCCUCAGCUCAACUGAGGAAGUGCAGUGGAAACUACAAAACUUGAGUACAGAAGAGGAAAGUGGAACUCCAUGUGUAGCGGUGAAAUGCGUAGAUAUAUGGAAGAACACCAGUGGCGAAGGCGGCUUUCUGGUCUGUUACUGACGCUGAGGCUCGAAAGCAUGGGUAGCGAACAGGAUUAGAUACCCUGGUAGUCCAUGCCGUAAACGAUGAAUACUAGGUGUUGGAGGGUUUCCGCCCUUCAGUGCCGCAGCUAACGCAUUAAGUAUUCCGCCUGGGGAGUACGACCGCAAGGUUGAAACUCAAAGGAAUUGACGGGGGCCCGCACAAGUGGUGGAGCAUGUGGUUUAAUUCGAUGCUACGCGAAGAACCUUACCAGCUCUUGACAUCUUCUGCCAACCCAAGAGAUUGGGCGUUCCCUUCGGGGACAGAAUGACAGGUGGUGCAUGGUUGUCGUCAGCUCGUGUCGUGAGAUGUUGGGUUAAGUCCCGCAACGAGCGCAACCCUUAUUAUUAGUUGCCAGCAUUUAGUUGGGCACUCUAGUGAGACUGCCGGUGAUAAACCGGAGGAAGGUGGGGACGACGUCAAAUCAUCAUGCCCCUUAUGAGCUGGGCUACACACGUGCUACAAUGGAUGGUACAACGAGUCGCGAAACCGCGAGGUCAAGCUAAUCUCUUAAAGCCAUUCUCAGUUCGGAUUGCAGGCUGCAACUCGCCUGCAUGAAGUGGAA